CUGCUCAGUAACACGUAGUUAACCUAACCUAUGGACGGGGAUAACCUCGGGAAACUGAGAAUAAUCCCCGAUAGAUCACGGUGCCUGGAAUGGCCUGUGGUCCAAAUGAUUUAUCGCCGUAGGAUGGGACUGCGGCCUAUCAGCUAGUUGGUGAGGUAAUGGCCCACCAAGGCUAUAACAGGUACGGGCUCUGAGAGGAGGGGCCCGGAGAUGGGUACUGAGACACGGACCCAGGCCCUAUGGGGCGCAGCAGGCGAGAAACCUUUGCAAUGUGCGAAAGCACGACAAGGUUAAUCCGAGUGUCUCCUGCUAAAGGAGUCUUUUGCCGGUCAUAAAACCACCGGUGAAUAAGGGGUGGGCAAGUUCUGGUGUCAGCCGCCGCGGUAAAACCAGCACCUCGAGUGGUCAGGAGGCUUAUUGGGCCUAAAGCAUCCGUAGCCGGCUGCUCAAGUUUUCGGUUAAAUCUAUGCGCUCAACGUAUAGGCCGCCGAAAAUACUGGGCAGCUAGGGAGUGGGAGAGGUACACGGUACUCAAUAGGAAGGGGUAAAAUCCUUUGAUCUAUUGAUGACCACCUGUGGCGAAGGCGGUGUACCAGAACACGUUCGACGGUGAGGGAUGAAAGCUGGGGGAGCAAACCGGAUUAGAUACCCGGGUAGUCCCAGCUGUAAACGAUGCAGACUCGGUGAUGCAUUGGCUUGUGGCCAAUGCAGUGCCGCAGGGAAGCCGUUAAGUCUGCCGCCUGGGAAGUACGUACGCAAGUAUGAAACUUAAAGGAAUUGGCGGGGGAGCACCACAAGGGGUGAAGCCUGCGGUUCAAUUGGAGUCAACGCCAGA
Molecule: ribosomal RNA, 835 nt
Filed under: uncultured archaeon
Lineage: Archaea
Description: bacterial SSU rRNA
Rfam family: Archaeal small subunit ribosomal RNA
Source: RNAcentral